Long non-coding RNA from Eucalyptus grandis, 850 nucleotides. RefSeq lists it as uncharacterized. The record is from RefSeq and is a predicted model, not a curated record. Lineage: Eukaryota; Viridiplantae; Streptophyta; Magnoliopsida; Myrtales; Myrtaceae. The transcript has 4 exons.
AUAAACAGUGGAGUCCAUACCACCGGGGAAGAAGAGGUAGUAGCAGUGAAGCGACUGAAGGUGGGGAGCGGACAGGGAGAGCGUGAGUUCCUGACUGGGGUUGAAAUAACGAAGCCGAGUUCAUCACCAGCAUGCCGUGUCUUUGGUUUGGAUACUUCACGCACGAGUUGGUGCCUAACAACACCAACACCUUGGAGUUCCACAUACAUGGUCAUCCUAUGACCAUACAUGGCCAUAUCAAGGGAGCUAACUUGCUUGUGGACUUCGAAUUUGAGGCAAAGGUGAAAACAAACUUAUUUAAUAUAUACUUUAAAGAGUCCGUAUUGAUGUUUCAGACCUCAAUUGGUCGCAUUUGAAAGUAUAAAACUAUACCGAUUUUUUUUUUUAAUAACAAAUCUUCAUGUUUCGACUUGAGAUAUUUGACUUAUAGCAGAUUCGAUCCUUGUAUCUUCGGGAGCUCAAAGCACAUAGCGAUCGGGACCGUGGCUGCAGCUUCGCUGCUUCUUGCUGCGUCCGUCCAAGAGAGUGUCGCCAGACACUGACCGCAAAUUGUAUCUCAACUUGAUCUUCACAGCCACUAUCGUCACCGGAAUCUUCCAGUCAGUCUUACGGUUCUACUUACGACGGGUUUGUCGUGGACUUUUUGACGCACUCGACAAUCGUCGGUAUCAUGAGUGGAGCCGCGAUUACAAUUUGCCCGCAGCAGUUGAAGGGCCUCUUUGGACUGGCUUACUUUCACCACCAAAACGGACAUGAUCUCUGUCAUGCAUGCUGUGUUGAAUAACCCACACGAGGGUCCACCAAGCGGGAUUCCAGUGGUAAAACGGCACCGUUACUCCUACUCCCAACC